GGUCAAUGAUGUUUUGGCAUGUAUUAUCUGAUAUUAAAGCUGAUGUGUAUACUACUUU
This 58-nucleotide small nucleolar RNA is filed under the name Erinaceus europaeus (western European hedgehog). RNAcentral's name for it is "Small nucleolar RNA SNORD45 (ENSEEUG00000019237.1)". It matches the Rfam family "Small nucleolar RNA SNORD45". Rfam says of the family: U45 belongs to the C/D class of snoRNA which contain the C (UGAUGA) and D (CUGA) box motifs. The record is from Rfam by way of RNAcentral. Lineage: Eukaryota; Metazoa; Chordata; Mammalia; Eulipotyphla; Erinaceidae.